Molecule: non-coding RNA, 404 nt
Organism: Megalopta genalis
Lineage: Eukaryota; Metazoa; Arthropoda; Insecta; Hymenoptera; Halictidae
Source: RefSeq, a predicted model, not a curated record
UAAAAUCAUUAGCAAUUUCGUAUCCGACUUUAUCAUUUUACGUUGCUUCGUAUAAAUUAUUCGUUGUUCUUAACGCACGAAAUCGUCUGCGAAUAUCGGUGCGCUGAUCAAAUAAUAAACGUGCCGAAAUCGGUACAAGUGGACGCGAAGCAUGUCGUUAGAGUAUACGGGCCGAAGAGAAGUUUAUUAUCCAAUUUGGUGGGGCCGAAGGAAUAUGCGUCGCGUGGAUGCAGUCGGACGUGCUCGACACGUGGUUGUCGAUACUCCAGGCUCCUGCCGAGAAACACAGACCUCCCAGCGUCAUCCGACCACCAUCUGCACGAAACCACGUUGACGCGAAGGCAAAGCGUGACGAAUGGGAACCUGUCGCUGCACGUGCGAGGACAAACGGUAAUUUAUUUUUA